AGGGGAAAGAUAACUUGUGAGCAAAACUGCCAUUUGUGAAUUUGGAACACAUGGUUACUGGCCCACCUUCCCACCCCCCAAAAUCUUGUUUUUCAGACCUAAAUCUUCUCACUACUGCAACCAGCCCCUUCUCUACAACCUGGUGGGAAGCAUCAUCCUGACAUUCUUCGCUACAGGGCUGGCUUUGAUCUUAGCCCUGACGCCGCACAUCCCAUGGGAGCUGAGAGCCACAAUCUCGGUUUUUGGACUUGCCUCUUUUGCAGAAGGCGCUUAUAUCACUCUACUCACUGCCUUGGCCCCACAAUGCGCCAGAACCACUCCUGAGCUCUAUUACCUCUCGAUGAUUCUGUCAGCGGCUAGCAUAAUAUCGGCCA
This is a non-coding RNA of Pantherophis guttatus, 374 nucleotides long. Lineage: Eukaryota; Metazoa; Chordata; Lepidosauria; Squamata; Colubridae. The record is from RefSeq and is a predicted model, not a curated record.